Molecule: long non-coding RNA, 1071 nt
Filed under: Chrysolophus pictus (golden pheasant)
Lineage: Eukaryota; Metazoa; Chordata; Aves; Galliformes; Phasianidae
Description: lncRNA (ENSCPIG00010008157.1)
Source: RNAcentral
UGAUGGCUGUAAAUGUCUGUACUCUACCUCUGAAUAUGUGCCCCUAGUUACUUACAUUAGCAGUAGUGCAUUCUGAAAUCUUGAUAAACCUUCUUUGACUUCUGGUGCCUAUUUAGGAUAAUGUUGAAACUCAGCACAAGUUCUUUUAAUUUUCAUAAGCGGUUUUUCCUCUCUCCACAGCUCCACAGGCAUUAGAACAGUUGCACACCACGUUUCCUUCCUAGAAGAGGGAGUGCCUGAAGCAGAGAAGAGCUAUUUUAAUAUAAUUUGCCAAUUGUUUUAAUAUGCAACUAUCCCAUCUUUAAAAACACCUCCUCCAUGAGUGGCACUUUACGAUCUGCCAAUACUCUUCCAAACCGAAGACAUUUUCCCCUAUGAACAAUCUGCUUUAUUAACAGAAACGAAGAGACAGUACAGACACCAUGCUCCUGGAAUCUCUUGGUUCUGAUAAAAAUUGAGGUAAGUUGUUUAGGGACACAACUGAGAGAACUGUACUUGCGGAGGCAGUACAUCUCACUGCAGGUCAGUGCGAGAAAGGAUGGUUCAAAGUUACAGGAAUAACGAGCCCCCAUGACCAUCCAGAGAUAUACAGCUAAACGUGUCAUAUAAAAAUGCAAAUACCUCUACCAUUCUCAGGCUGUCCCUCCCAGUCUCAGGUACUUGUCAAGACAAAUUACCAGGUCACACUUCCUUAAAGUUUUUGUUGCACAACGCUGUCUUGUAUCUAAAGUAACGUGUAUGAUAAUCAUCCACUUCCUUCUCAGGAGUUAAGCCUUUAGCUUUCAGAUAAUGUUUCACAUGAAAACACGCUUCACUUUGCUUCAAUUCAGGUAAACUGGCUAAAGGAAGUUCUUUAGAUAAGGGAUCUGUCUGUUCUAUUAUGCUGGCCAAAGCUGGUCACAAACCAUUCUCUCAAAGCUGAUUUAACAGGUCAGACUGAGCUGGUUACUUUGCAAGCACAGCUAGCAUGCUUCUAGAGUUCUCACACAGAACUCUAAUAAUGUAUGUACAAAUCAGAUAUCUUCAUCUCACACAAUUAUAAUGCUGCAAUAAACUACUAUAUUAUAAACA